This 880-nucleotide ribosomal RNA is filed under the name uncultured Streptococcus sp. Its description in RNAcentral is "bacterial SSU rRNA". It matches the Rfam family "Bacterial small subunit ribosomal RNA", at positions 28 to 872 of the family's 1533-position model. The record is from RNAcentral. Lineage: Bacteria; Bacillati; Bacillota; Bacilli; Lactobacillales; Streptococcaceae.
GACGAACGCUGGCGGCGUGCCUAAUACAUGCAAGUAGAACGCUGAAGGAGGAGCUUGCUUCUCUGGAUGAGUUGCGAACGGGUGAGUAACGCGUAGGUAACCUGCCUGGUAGCGGGGGAUAACUAUUGGAAACGAUAGCUAAUACCGCAUAAGAGUAGAUGUUGCAUGACAUUUGCUUAAAAGGUGCAAUUGCAUCACUACCAGAUGGACCUGCGUUGUAUUAGCUAGUUGGUGGGGUAACGGCUCACCAAGGCGACGAUACAUAGCCGACCUGAGAGGGUGAUCGGCCACACUGGGACUGAGACACGGCCCAGACUCCUACGGGAGGCAGCAGUAGGAAAUCUUCGGCAAUGGACGGAAGUCUGACCGAGCAACGCCGCGUGAGUGAAGAAGGUUUUCGGAUCGUAAAGCUCUGUUGUAAGAGAAGAACGAGUGUGAGAGUGGAAAGUUCACACUGUGACGGUAUCUUACCAGAAAGGGACGGCUAACUACGUGCCAGCAGCCGCGGUAAUACGUAGGUGGCAAGCGUUAUCCGGAUUUAUUGGGCGUAAAGAGAGUGCAGGCGGUUUUCUAAGUCUGAUGUGAAAGCCUUCGGCUUAACCGGAGAAGUGCAUCGGAAACUGGAUAACUUGAGUGCAGAAGAGGGUAGUGGAACUCCAUGUGUAGCGGUGGAAUGCGUAGAUAUAUGGAAGAACACCAGUGGCGAAGCGGCUACCUGGUCUGCACUGACGCUGAGACUCGAAAGCAUGGGUAGCGAACAGGAUAGGUACCCUAGUAGUCGAAGGGCGAAUUCUACAGUGGAUAUCAGCUAUCGAUACCGUCGACGUCGAGGGGGGGCCGGUACCCAGCUUUUGUUCCCUUUAAUAAAAGAUAAUUGCGC